Long non-coding RNA from Leopardus geoffroyi (Geoffroy's cat), 445 nucleotides. RefSeq lists it as uncharacterized. Lineage: Eukaryota; Metazoa; Chordata; Mammalia; Carnivora; Felidae. The transcript is spliced from 2 exons. The record is from RefSeq and is a predicted model, not a curated record.
CUUAAGAGAACAAGUGAGUGAAUGAAUGAAUGAAUGAAUGAAGAGAAUGAAUACCUAAGAAAAUAAAUCCUUAAGAAAAUGAAUGAAUGACCCACUUCAGCAAGGCUCUUAGCAGCGUUCCUCUGGGCCCUUCCGCUAAUCUCCAUUCCUGACCUCUGGUUCUCCCUUUUUUCUUUCCCUUUAUAGAAAAGCUUGAUGAGUUUUGUUGGAAUACUGAUUCUCUUUGAACAUCCCUCAAAAUCCCCUAUUCUCGGCAUGGAACAGGGUCCAAACCACAGACCUUACUCUUGAAGGACCUCUACGUCCAGCAUUGAUCUGAGUCCAGCAAGGUCCCCCUGGAUGUGACCUCCACUCCAGUGGAAGGAAUUCCCAACUAGAGUAAGAAAAUACUCCUUGAAGAGUCAGGUACGUCUGGAUUAAAAUCCUACCUCCACUAUUUACUGCA